GGGAAAAAUUGAGCAAGACUGAGUACAACCACCGUACUCAACAAGACACACCCACAAGUGCAGAAUAAAUGCAAGGGCGUACAAGGGGGGUUAUAGUAUAAAUGGUUAGGUUUUGCAGUAAACAGCAUUAAAAGACACUUAGUUGCUCAAAGCUAUUUUGUAAAUACGAUCCUAGAGCUAUACAAGAUUAUUAAUCAAGGCCGUGAACCCACACGAACCUGCCUUAACCCAAGGCCUACGAUGAUUCAGACCGAGCUGGCAACCCGACCCUGGGUCCAAGCUCGUCCCAAGCCAACCCAGGCCAACCAUUCCACAUUUUAGUUGUUAAGCAGGUUUUAAGAAUUAAAAACACUAACUUGGGUACAUUGCUCGGCUUGCCCAUAACCGAGGGCGCGGCUAUUCGAAUAGGUUAUACUCUGAUCAGAGGUGUACAUCUUUACCCACAAGACACAUCUUCCUCACGUGUAACCUCGUGCCACAUACCACCACGGUAUACGGACGGAAGACGUGACAUAGUUUCCAACCCAUCCUAGCCGUAGACAAGAGUACCGACCCAACCCCACCUACGGCCGGAACCCCCGGGACAGGUAGGCAGGACUGAGCCCCUAGCAGUAGGACACCGGCCCUGUGCCAUGACAUCUCGACUACCGGGCCGCAGCUCGUGUAGCCUUCAUUUGUCCUAGAGAUGUCCAUCGACCCCCGACUUCGUCCAUCUCCAUCCGUGUACUUUUGUUUAUAACCAGACUGAGCCACAAACUAAGCCUUACCCACUAGAUAUGUGGAAGUACGGUAGUGCUUUGCAACAGAGGCCCGAAGACCGGUCCUUAUAUGGCCGAGGUGCUACUAUCAAAACCAUGCACCCCGAGCCCAGCCUAAAACCAUUUUGAGGAUUUUGAAUAGAGGGGGAGGUGUGAACCCAAUUCCACAAUAAUCCAACCAUUCCGUACUUGUAAAACCACCUAAUGUUACCUAAUUAAGCGGCGAAGCAUCUACCUAAAUUCAUACUAGUGGUACCAUGAGUAGAGUGUCCACUAGUUGGGGUUUUGUUUAUUCUAGGAUGAACAAGGUAAUAAUAACAAUAACAAUAAUAAGGUCAUAACAAAAGUAAAUAGGCAAGGCUAGAUAAAACAGUGAUAACGCGGGAAUUUAAAUAAAGCGAUAAUGCAAUAAUUUAAAUCAAAAUAAUUUUAUAAACUGGGAUUCAAUAUGUUCAAGGAUGAUGUGACUUACCUUGCUCGCUUUCCCAAACGUCGGCUUCAACCUCCACGAAGAGCGGAUCUUCCGAAGCUGCAGCGUCUACACGACCAACGGAAAAGAAAAGGGUUUUCCUCUAAUAAACUCCAUAUAACCAGCAAGAACAAAGUACAAAAAUGGGUUCUUGACUUCUUAAGGAAAAAUUAGAGACUUGAACGGUCCAAUUCUGAGUUCAAAUGGCCAAGUUAUGGCCAUUUGAAGUUUAUAUGCUCUUUAAAUGAAUAUUUACGAAUUUCUUCAUUUAAAUUUUAAUUUAAAAAGGGUUUAUUGCGUCAGCCGAGGGGGAGGGGCGCGCAGACCGGGUCCACGGGAGUGGGGCCCACGCGGCAGCCUCACGGUCCACGGUGGACCGGGUGCACCCGGGCUCACACCGGCCGGCGCCGUGGGCCUAACACGUCAGCCGCACCUGAGGGCGCGGGCGGCUGACGGCCGGGCCCCACGCGGCAGCCACUCGGCGCGCCCGAGGGCGGCCACGCCAGCGCGGUCGGCGGGAGGCGGCGCGCCCGCACCCCGAUGGUUGCUGCCGGCGACCACCUGCGCGGCGGGGCGGUGGCCGAGAGAGGGGAGGGAAGGGGGAAAGGAGGCGACGGUCCACGGCUCACCCCGGGGCGACGGCGGCGACGGAGGAGGCGGCCGGAGUGGAGGGAGGCGGCGGCGCGGCUCGGGUCGACGGGGUCGACGGCGUUCCGGCGGUCGGCGACCGAAACGGAGAGGUGGAUGAGGUCGGCGAGGAUGCGGCGAACCCGAAGGAGGCGGCGCCGAGGUGGGAGGCGGUCCGGGGCGACGACGGCGGCGGACCGGAGCUCGGCGGCGACGGCGGAGAGAGAGAGCGACGUCGCGAGCUCGAAUCCGGCAAGGAGGAAGGGCGGCGAGAGGCGGAAACGGACGGAUUAGGUGCGGGGAGGGUUUAAAUAGGGUUGGAAGGGGGAGAGAGCGGUCGGUGGGGAAGCAAACCGGCGCGGGAGGUCCGGCCGCCAUCAAUGGCGCCGGCGAGAUUUGGGGGGCAAAUCCGCCCGUUUGAACGCGAGAGAGAGAGGGAAAAAUGGGGGGAAAGGGAGAGGGGAUCACGGGGAGUGAUUUCCCCCACUUUAUUGCACGCGGGGACGGCGGGAUGCGGCGGAUUUGGCGGCGGCGGCGGCGCUUGGCGCAGGCGGAGCGGCGGGAGGACGGGGAUGACGGGUGGGCCCCACCCGUCAGCGAGGGUGGCGGGCGGGCCCGCCCGUCAGCGGCGCGCGCGCGGGGAGAGGCCGAGUGGGCCGCGGAGAGAGGAGAGAGAGGGGGAGGGAGAUGGGCCGAAUUCGGACCAUUAGAGAGAAGGAGGGAUUUUAGGGUUUUUCUUUUUAUAAAACCUUUUUAACUUUGUUUAUUUCUUAAGAAUUAUUAUUUGUGCUCUAAAAAUUCCACUAAAAUUUAUUUACAUAUUUUAGGCUCUUUAGGAAAUAUACAAAAAUCCUCUAAGCCUUGUUUGACUUUUAACUUUGCACAUUUUAAUUGUUGGAGGCUUUCACAUGGUUUUUAAUUAUUCUAGGCAUAAUUUAGAGGAUGUAUUUUAGAGUCAUUUUGGGACUGUGCCACCUUUAGAUUAUCCCGAAUGGUUCUGACUUUAGCUUCAGCUUCUCUCAGGAUAUCAGUCCCGAACACUUGGCUUUCCCCAACUUGGUCCCACAAUAGCGAUGUCCGGCAUUUGCGUCCAUACAACGCUUCAUAGGGUGCCAUUUAUAUGCUGGCUUGGUAGCUGUUAUUGUAGGAGAACUCGGCAUAGGGGAGGCUCUUAACCCAGGUCUUCCUGAAAUCUAGGACACAUGCGCGAAGCAUAUCUUCUAGGACCUGAUUUAGACGCUCGGUCUAUCCAUCUGUCUGCGGGUGCUACGCGGUGCUGAAAUUUAAUCGGGUACCCAGCUCUUCUUGGAGCUUCUUCCAAAAGUGAGAGGUGAAUUGGCUUCCCCUAUCAGAUACAAUUUUCUUAGGAACGCCAUGGAGACUCACGAUCCUAGCGAAGUAGAGCUCGGCUAGUUUGUUCCCUCCAUAGGUGGUCUUCACAGGAAUAAACCGAGCUACCUUGGUUAGUCGGUCCACAACUACCCAUAUAUAAUCAUAUCCGCCUUGGGUUUUUGGAAGUCCGGUGAUGAAAUCCAUCCCAAUUUCAUCCCAUUUCUAUUCUGGUACUUGGAGAGGUUGGAGAAGUCCGGUCGGUCGUUGGUGCUCUGCCUUGACACGCUGGCACACAUCACAAAGGGCCACGAACUCUGUAAUUUCCCGCUUCAUACUAACCCACCAGUAUUUCCCUUUCAAGUCUAAGUACAUCUUCGUACUGCCAGGGUGAAUGGAAUAAGGACUUUCGUGAGCUUCCUGAAGUAUCUGCUGUUUAAGUUCUCUGUCGUUUGGAACGCAUAUCCGAUUUCGGUUCCAUAGGGUUCCGUGUUCAUCCUCUGUGAAACCAGCGGCUUUACCCUAUUUCAUAUUCUUGAGGAGUUCACGCAUAUCCGGAUCAUUCUUCUGAGCCUCGCGGAUUUGAUCGAGCAAGGUAGGCUUGGCUUCCAGCGUAGCCAAGAAUCCAUGACCAACUAUGCUUAGGUUCAGGGCUUCCAUCUGUUGAUUAAGUUCGGGUGGAAUGCCACGGACUUCAAGAGUGUUGCAAUGGCUUUUUCGACUUAGAGCGUCGGCGACCACGUUGGCCUUACCAGGAUAAUAGUGAAUUCCCACAUCAUAAUACUUGAUGAGCUCUAACCAUCUUCUCUGCCGAAGAUUCAGAUCCGACUGAGUGAAGAUGUAUUUCAAACUCUUAUGAUCAGUAUAUAUUUCGCAGCGAUUCCCGAUGAGAUAAUGCCGCCAGAUUUUUAGAGCAUGAACCACAGCGGCCAACUCCAAAUCAUGGGUAGGGUACUUGCCUUCAUGGGGCCGUAGCUGGCGUGAGGCAUAGGCUACCACAUGACCUUCCUGCAUGAGCACGCACCCUAGUCCUUGGCGCGAAGCGUCACAGUACACCAUGAAGUCCUUGCGAGUAUCCGGUAAUCAUCGAUCCGGGGAAGAGGGUACUUGUUUUUGAUAGUAACUUCAUUGAGAGCUCUGUAGUCAACGCACCUCCUCUUUGUCUUGUCUUUCUUCUUCACAAAAAUCACAGGAGCACCCCAGGGGGAAGUACUCGGCCGUAUAUACCCCUUUUCUUUCAACUCUUCCAACUGUUUCUUAACUUCGGCCAGUUCAUUGCUGCCAUACGGUAGGGUCGCUUGUACAGGGGAGUGGUUCCUGGAGCAAGAUCUAUCCGGAACUCAACUCUCGCUUCGGCGGCAUACCGGGUAGUUCUUCCGGAAACACGUCUCCAAACUCCCUGACGAUGGGGAUUUCCGACAGUCUUAUCUGAUGAAGUUCUGAACUGCCAACAGAGGUUGGGGGUGCAAAGAAAACAACCGGUUGUUCCGGCCCUCGGUACAGAGUGACAGUGCGUCUUGCACAAUCCACUACUCCUUGGAAUUGAGCCAACCAAUUCAUCCCAAGGAUCACAUCCAAGUUCUUGGUGUCUAGAAGAAUCAGAUCCGAGGGAAAAGGAAUUCCCUGAAUUUCUAUAGGAACGGCAGGGCUAUAAUACUUUGCUGUCAUAACCCCUCCAGGGGUGGUGAUGAGCAGAGGGUUCCUAAGCCUUUCUACCCCCAACCGAUUUCUCCCCACGAAUGGCACAGAUAUAAACGAGUGGGAUGCUCCAGAGUCGAACAGAAUGGUAGCAGGGAUGGAAUGAAUGAGGAACGUACCAACGAUGACGUCUGGAGUUGUCAGCACGUCCUCGGCCGUCACGUGGUUCACACGACCCCAAAUGACAUCCUUACCACUGUUGUUGGAGCGGGGAGGCGCUUGGCCUUGCUGGCGCCUCGGCUUUGGGCAUUUAUCUGCAAAGUGCCCGGGCUCGAAGCAGUUGAAGCACAGACGCUGCUGACCUUGAGCGUCCCUGCGGCCUUGACCAGGCUGCACAGCUGGCGUAGGGGGACGGGGCGCACGAGUCUCUUGCUGACUCUGCUGUUGCUGCGGCUGUGAGACGCGCACCACGAAUUGAGGUCGGAGCGCGGAGCGAGGUUGCUGCUGCGAGGAGGAUCCCCCUGGAUAGGGAUUGGUGUAGCGGACACUUUGGUUAGCCCCCUGUUGGUUGCGGAAAUUCGCCAAGCGACGCUUGUGCGACUCCAGUUUCUUGUGCUUGGCUUCCAAGCGGAUGCUCUUGUCAACCAAACGCUGGAAAUCCGGAUAGUCCCCGGAGACCAGACGCACGGACAGCUCAGGGUCCAUUCCUGCCAAGAACUUCUCUUGCUUCUGCUCAUCUUCACGAACAUCCUCCGGGGCGUACCAGGCCAGGUUGUUAAACUCAUGCAAGUACUCCAUCAUGGAGCGGUUGCCUUGCUUCAACUCUCGGAAUUCCCUUUUCUUAAGGGCCAUGAUUCCGGCGGGCACAUGGGUUCUCCGGAAAGCGGCGGUGAAGCGGGCCCAAGUAAUAGGUUGCCCCUCUGGCUGCGUAGCCUGGAAAUGGUCCCACCAUAGAGAUGCGGGCCCCUGCAGUUGGUGGGCGGCGAAGAUGACUUUCUCCUCAUCGCUGCACUGCACGGUGUCUAACUUUUUCCCCACGGCAUGCAACCAAUCCAACGCAUCCACGGUGUUAUUGGAGCUAGAGAAGGUAGGCGGAUGGAUGCGGAGGAACUCGGCGAGUUUAGAGUGUUGUGGGGGUGGUGGUGGAGCAUUAUGUUGUGGCGGGUUUUGGAUGUGGUGGAGGAAAGCAGCCAUCAUGUUGGCCUGCUGGGCGAGGAUUUGGGUGAGGAUGGCGUUGGUGUCUGGUGGUGGUGGUGGAGGCGGAGGAGGAGGUGGAGGUGGGCUGCCAUGGUUGUUGUGGUUGCUGCCUUCGGGGUGACUGCCUUCACCGGUAGCAGCACUUCUCCUGGUUGUCACCAUCUGAAAACCCCACACAGAACCAGCAAACAGAGAGAGCUGACAACUAAAACUAACCACUCACGACUACCAUAAUUCUUGAAUUUAUUACUGCUAUUAAAUUGGUUCAUUAAAGUUCAAGUUUCUUAAGCAAAUAAAAUAAAGACAGGCUCCGACACAGUUAUACCACACACCGGCAUAACCAUGCCCCAUACGACUCUAGCAGAAAAACAAACGAGAAGAACACACACGCAAGCCUACUAACUGCUCGUCUACUGCUGCGACGGGCCAGGACGGAAGGUGAGCAGCAGCGCAUCCUCCGUGCUGCCAACGCCGGAGGCUCCAUCCUCCUGAGGAACCACGGGCGCGGGCUCGGCACGAGGGGUCUCGACGAAGCAGGUCCACGCCAGGGACUGACGAACAAGCUCAGGCCUGGAGGUACUCUUGCGGGCGGUGAUCUUCAGGCUGUGGCAGAUGCGGCGACGCUUGGGGCGACAGACCUCUCCCUGGGCGAUCUUAAGCUUACGUAGCUGCGCCUCCACUGCGUCUAGGUCCUUCUUCAGCUGCAGAUUCUCCUGACGCAGCUCCAGGAUCUUCAUGCUGUUCUCGACCAACCCGCGACGCACCAUCUGAUGGAAGUCGAUACGGGCCGCGUCGUACGCCUCCACCAUGCGCGCCAGGUGCAUGAUGGUAGCGUCAUCCUCCGAGCUAGCAUCCCGGAAGGUGGCGUAGUCGCGGGCUCCUCCACGACGAGGGUGGUAGCGGUAGGGCGAGUGCUGCAACUCGUCCGGGUAGCGCUGGUGAAGAGUGCCGAUGGCGAGGAGUGCAGCGUUCUGGCAAGCGGCGGAGAAGGAAUCUCCACCCGCGGUGACCGCCAACGACGUCCUCUCAGGUGAGCCAGUGAGGAUCACUGCAAUAACCUCCCAAGCAGCGUGGGGCUCUGCAUCGUCACCCUCCUGCUCCGGGAGCUGCUUGCCCUGGUAAUCCACUCCAUGCGGAUACCCCAGGACAACGCACAUGCCCCGCAGCUCCAAAACGAAGCCAGUCAGGUCCAGACCACGACGGUUGAUGCUGCCGGCCAUCUACAAACAAAAACAAAAGAGAAAAGCAACAUUUUAAAGGUCAGAUUUUGACGAUAAAUGAAGCAGCAGGACAGAGAGAGACUAGAGGAUUUUCACAAAUAAGAAAGGAUUUUUAUUUUGAAAAUAUUGCUAAGGCUUGGGAUCUACGGCUCGUCCUAGGGUCAGGGGGGGCUCUGAUACCAACUUGUCACGACCGGAAAUAACCCAACGGGCGUUCCUUACGUGCGUGCAUUAUUCCUUGUCCCAGGAGGCAAGGUACACCAAAAGUUGAUACAGUUCAGAGUUUAACAAGCGGAAGCGUAAAUAGUUAAUUUAUUACAUGGGCGGCGAAGGCCCAGCACACACAAAGACAAACGGGAAACAGCGGAAGACUAGGGCGACGACCACAGG
This 7628-nucleotide long non-coding RNA is filed under the name Oryza sativa (Asian cultivated rice). Its description in RNAcentral is "long non-coding RNA (OSAT_LNC001166)". Lineage: Eukaryota; Viridiplantae; Streptophyta; Magnoliopsida; Poales; Poaceae. The record is from RNAcentral.